RNAcentral lists this long non-coding RNA (440 nucleotides) under Mustela putorius furo (domestic ferret). RNAcentral's name for it is "lncRNA (ENSMPUG00000031586.1)". Lineage: Eukaryota; Metazoa; Chordata; Mammalia; Carnivora; Mustelidae. The record is from RNAcentral.
GCAUGGGGGGCAUAGUUUGCCUUGGAGAGGAUACUCUGAGAAUGGUGCUUAUGUAGGUCCUAGAGGUGGGCCCAGGACAUUUAAGAAAAGAAGUAGUCACAUGGUCGAGAUGAGGCACAUCUUCUGGGCCCUAAGGUUUGCUCACACCAUGGGAAGAGUUGUGGCCAAAAAAGGGCCAGGAUCCUGCAAACUGACCUCUGUAGGCCUCUCCCCGGACUAGCCUGCUCAAGGAAUUUCUUUAUCCCCCAGUGCUUGUCUUUUAAUACCUCUUUGGCCUCAUCAGGCUACACAUAGGCCAUCUAAUAGCUUGCUACUAGGUAUGUCUGUGAACCUACUGCAGAAGGAUUACCUGAGAAAUAUAAAUUUUUGGCUCUCAGAUCUACAGAAUCAAAAUCUGCAUUUUAUCAAGAUUUCCUAGUGAUUUAUAUGCACAAUAAAAU